AGAGUUUGAUCCUGGCUCAGGACGAACGCUGGCGGCGUGCUUAACACAUGCAAGUCGAGCGAUGAAGUUUCUUCGGAAAUGGAUUAGCGGCGAACGGGUGAGGAACACGUGAAGAAUCUGCCCUCCACUUUGGGAUAACACCGGGAAACCGGUGCUAAUACUGAAUAUUGAAACAUAAGUGGCAUCACUGAGUUUUGAAAGAAUUUCGGUGGAGGAUGACUUCGCGGCCUAUCAGCUAGUUGGUGAGGUAAUGGCUCACCAAGGCAACGACGGGUAGCCGGCCUGAGAGGGCGACCGGCCACACUGGGACUGAGACACGGCCCAGACUCCUACGGGAGGCAGCAGUGGGGAAUAUUGGGCAAUGGAGGAAACUCUGACCCAGCGACGCCGCGUGCGGGAUGAAGGCCUUCGGGUUGUAAACCGCUUUCAGUAGGGAAGAAGCGAAAGUGACGGUACCUACAAAAGAAGCACCGGCUAACUAUGUGCCAGCAGCCGCGGUAAUACAUAGGGUGCAAGCGUUGUCCGGAAUUAUUGGGCGUAAAGAGCUCGUAGGUCGUUUGUUACGUCGGAUGUGAAAACCUGAGGCUCAACCUCAGGCCUGCAUUCGAUACGGGCAAACUAGAGUUUGGUAGGGGAGACUGGAAUUCCUGGUGUAGCGGUGGAAUGCGCAGAUAUCAGGAGGAACACCAAUGGCGAAGGCAGGUCUCUGGGCCAAUACUGACACUGAGGAGCGAAAGUCUGGGGAGCGAACAGGAUUAGAUACCC
This 765-nucleotide ribosomal RNA is filed under the name uncultured Actinomycetes bacterium. RNAcentral's name for it is "bacterial SSU rRNA". It matches the Rfam family "Bacterial small subunit ribosomal RNA", at positions 8 to 787 of the family's 1533-position model. Lineage: Bacteria; Bacillati; Actinomycetota; Actinomycetes. The record is from RNAcentral.